CGCGUAGGUGGUUUAUUAAGAUUGUUGUGAAAUCCCUGGGCUUAACCUAGGAACUGCAACGAUGACUGAUAAGCUUGAGUAUUGUAGAGGGUAGUGGAAUUCCGGUGUAGCGGUGAAAUGCGUAGAGAUCGGAAGGAACACCAGUGGCGAAGGCGGCUACCUGGACAAAUACUGACACUGAGGCGCGAGAGCGUGGGGAGCAAACA
RNAcentral lists this ribosomal RNA (206 nucleotides) under uncultured bacterium. RNAcentral describes it as "partial 16S ribosomal RNA". It matches the Rfam family "Bacterial small subunit ribosomal RNA", at positions 568 to 774 of the family's 1533-position model. The record is from RNAcentral.